AUGCCGAGGAUCCGGGAAGAAGAACGACCCCGCAAGGGGCAAAGGGCACCACCACCGUGCCAUUUGACGGCGGCGCGUUCACUCUGGAGGUGCUCGCGCACGCCGGCAAAGGGGACAGGGAGGGUGCCCCCAUAUCGCGCGCCGCUGCUUGCGGCUAUCUCUCUAACAGAAGGCGGUGGUGGAUGGGUGAAAUGGAUAAGGGGAAAGGAAAGGAGGACCCUCGCCGCGCAGGUGAGCCUCGCCGUCGGCGGCUGGCCGGCGGCCAGAGAGAACCACAGGCGAGAAGGGGAGCAGAGGACCGCUCUGCCGCGUCAUUUUUUCUCUCUGUCGUUGGAAGAUAGGACAGAGGGGAGGGGGAAAGGGAAAAGGAGGCGUGCGCGCGGCGCGGUGGAUUUCGCGGUCGCCGCCGCCGGCGGCCGGGCCGGGCGGCCGGGGGCGCUGCUCUGUUUCGGUGUCACGAGAGAGAGACAGAAUGGGGUCGAACAGAUCGAGAGAAUGGGGCUAGGUUUCCCAUCGGGAGCUCUCUCCCAGGUUUUGGUCUAG
This 543-nucleotide ribosomal RNA is filed under the name Triticum aestivum (bread wheat). RNAcentral's name for it is "partial small subunit ribosomal RNA". The record is from RNAcentral. Lineage: Eukaryota; Viridiplantae; Streptophyta; Magnoliopsida; Poales; Poaceae.